GUCAGCCUGCACUUGAAGGAGGCGAACAAGUUCCUCUGGCAACUCAAGCUGAAGGUGCCGCUGGGGGGCCUCAAGAGGAAGAGGAACCACUACAUUGAGGAUGGUGACUCGGGCAACCAUGAGAACUACAUCAACUAGCUCAACAAGAGGAUGAACUAUGUUGUUUGGCUUAUCAUCAUGGUCCCUUGUGUUCGAGCGAUGUUUUGUUUGUUAAGCACUUUAAGCAUUCUUUACAUCGGGAAGAAGUAG
This 249-nucleotide ribosomal RNA is filed under the name Triticum aestivum (bread wheat). RNAcentral's name for it is "partial small subunit ribosomal RNA". Lineage: Eukaryota; Viridiplantae; Streptophyta; Magnoliopsida; Poales; Poaceae. The record is from RNAcentral.